GAGUUUGAUCUUGGCUCAGAUUGAACGCUGGCGGCAUGCCUUACACGUGCAAGUCGAACGGCAGCACGGGAGCUUGCUCCUGGUGGCGAGUGGCGAACGGGUGAGUAAUGCAUCGGAACGUAUCCUGGAGUGGGGGAUAACGUAGCGAGAGUUACGCUAAUACCGCAUAUUCUGUGAGCAGGAAAGCGGGGGACCUUCGGGCCUCGCGCUCUUGGAGCGGCCGAUGUCGGAUUAGCUAGUUGGUGAGGUAAAGGCUCACCAAGGCGACGAUCCGUAGCAGGUCUGAGAGGAUGAUCUGCCACACUGGAACUGAGACACGGUCCAGACUCCUACGGGAGGCAGCAGUGGGGAAUUUUGGACAAUGGGGGCGAACCCUGAUCCAGCCAUGCCGCGUGAGUGAAGAAGGCC
RNAcentral lists this ribosomal RNA (408 nucleotides) under bacterium enrichment culture clone ALO1_GLFRUDD03G8NO4. RNAcentral's name for it is "bacterial SSU rRNA". It matches the Rfam family "Bacterial small subunit ribosomal RNA", at positions 9 to 416 of the family's 1533-position model. The record is from RNAcentral.